UUGUCCUACGGGACGCAGCAGUGGGGGAUAUUGCACAAUGGGGGGAACCCUGAUGCAGCGACGCCGCGUGGGUGAAGGAGCGUUUCGGCGCGUAAAGCCCUAUCGGCAGGGAAGAAGAUGACGGUAUCUGACCAAGAAGCCCCGGCUAACUACGUGCCAGCAGCCGCGGUAAUACGUAGGGGGCAAGCGUUAUCCGGAUUUACUGGGUGUAAAGGGGGCGCAGACGGCAAUGCAAGCCAGGAGUGAAAGCCCGGGGCCCAACCCCGGUACAGGCUCUGGAAACUGGCGGGCUAGAGAGCAGGAGG
RNAcentral lists this ribosomal RNA (305 nucleotides) under uncultured bacterium. RNAcentral describes it as "bacterial SSU rRNA". It matches the Rfam family "Bacterial small subunit ribosomal RNA", at positions 334 to 655 of the family's 1533-position model. The record is from RNAcentral.